Oncorhynchus tshawytscha (Chinook salmon) is the source of this 330-nucleotide long non-coding RNA. Lineage: Eukaryota; Metazoa; Chordata; Actinopteri; Salmoniformes; Salmonidae. The record is from Ensembl.
UGUUGGCCAGGUGUUGUUUGGCCAGGUGUGGUUUGGCCAGGUGUUGUUGGCCAGGUGUUGUUUGGCCAGGCGUGGUUUGGCCAGGUGUUGUUGGCCAGGUGUUGUUUGGCCAGGCGUGGUUUGGCCAGGUGUUGUUUGCCAGGUGUUGUUUGGCCAGGCGUGGUUUGGCCAGGUGUUGUUGGCCAGGUAUUGUUGGCCAGGUGUUCUUUGGCCAGGCAUUGUUUGGCCAGGUGUUGUUUGGCCAGGUGUUUUUUGGCCAGGUGUUGUUUGGCCAGGUGUGGUUUGGCCAGGUGUUGUUUGCCAGGUGUUGUUUGGCCAGGCGUGGUUUGG